UGAGCCGCGUGAAGUGGGUUUAAGGAAAAUGCAGUGGAAUGCAAAAAUCCAAAAAAACUUCAGAAUUCCUCAACGAUUUUGCAGAAAGGCAGCUUAGGAUAAUUAUUUCAGCUUUGUCGAGGGCAGAUUAGCUAAAGUCUGGGAUCUCCGUUUAACUACGCCUUACGUUUGCCAUUACAAUAUCC
Long non-coding RNA from Scleropages formosus (Asian bonytongue), 185 nucleotides. It matches the Rfam family "Six3os1 conserved region 7". The record is from Rfam. Lineage: Eukaryota; Metazoa; Chordata; Actinopteri; Osteoglossiformes; Osteoglossidae.